AAGGACAGAAAGCCGCGUGCUGUGAACAGAGCUUAGAGAACGCUUUACUGUACCAGUAAUCAGCUGAUUUUACGACAGAAUAAUGGCACUGGCAGCAGAAAAUAGACACGAGGCCCCACAGGAGUGUCCUGUGUGCUUCGAAAAUGUUUUGCUUGCAAAACGCACUCUGAGCUGCAGGCACGUCUUUUGCCAGGACUGCCUGAGUAAAAUAAUGGUAGUCGCCCGGAGUCGAGGAUCCAUCAUUUGUCCACUCUGCCGUCAAGCCACUUAUCUUAACAAAGAGAGCCAAGCUGGAGAGACCCUGGCUGCAGAUGUGGACACCACACAGGAGGUGGCUCUUCCUCUCUCGAUGGGGUAUCUUGUGAUGGCGUCGAGGGCCUCCAUAGUCGGUUUGUUGCAUGGAGGAAAUUGGAUGAUGCAUCAUUUGAGGAGACUUUCUCGCCGAAGCAGCGAGCAAACGGUCACCUACAGGAAUGGGUCUCAGGUUUUUAUAAUUAGCGACCAAGUGAGACCAACGACAUGCAGCGAUACUGCUGUCGGUAUUCCUGAGGCUGAACCUCCGGAGUGUACGGAGUGUCGGGUCACCAAAUCCGACUGUAUUUGCCUGGUAGUGGUGAUUUGUUUGACCGCACUGGUGUCGCUUCUGGUGAGGCACCUAUGAGGAUGUGCAGACUCCAACAUCCAUUCUCAGGACUGACACGUUGCCUCACUUUGUGAUAACGAUGCAUCAAUCCAGUCUCCUUUCAGAGGACCUGUGAAUGGGAAGCCCCACAACGAGCUGCUAUCAGGAAAACCGACGAUUAUUUAUUAUGUGUAUAUUAUGUUUUAUGUUAUAGUUUGACUUUUUCCAGUAAUGACUGGAAAAAGGAGGAAAAAUGUUUAGAAUGUUUCUUUUCAUUGUUUUAUGAAUCACUGUGGCCAACAACGUAAUUUUGAAAACUACAGAGUCACUUUAUAAAUAAGCAUUGCUGCACUUUGUAUUUUAUAUAUUGCUUGUUUAUAGUUUAUACUUUUCUACAGUUGGUCAAGACUAAAGAUUUUAGAACUCCUGUUUUGUGUGUUUAUACGAUGUUAUAAAUACAAACAAUAAUAAUUUGCAUAAAUGGCUUAUGCAAAGAAGAAAUUAUACACACACACACACACACACACUUUAAUCAAAGCUGUCUGUGUGUCUAUACACAAUACACACACCUGUAGUCAAUCAUUUUCAGUUUGGUACCCUGCACUCCAAAUCUGAUUAGUUGGAUUAACCAUUGUAGUGUCUAAUGAAUAAUCACAGAUUUUAAUA
Molecule: long non-coding RNA, 1288 nt
Organism: Oreochromis aureus
Lineage: Eukaryota; Metazoa; Chordata; Actinopteri; Cichliformes; Cichlidae
Exons: 2
Source: RefSeq, a predicted model, not a curated record